GAGGAUCUUUUGCACAAUGGACAAAUCUGACGGAGAACAGCCCCGUGAGAGUGAAGAGCUUUUGGGUAUUAUAAAUCUGUGUUUAGGGGGAAACAAGCUAUGGAGAGUUACGGUGGCAUCUGGGCGGUACCUAAAGAAAAAACCCCGGCCAACUUCGGGCCCGCCGGCCCCGUUAAUCGUUGGGGGCCAGCCUUUUUCGGAAUUUUUGGGCGUUAAGCCCGGGCCGGGGGUUUCUUAAAUUUGAUGGUAAAACCCCCGGGUCCACCUUCGAGUGUCAUUGGAAACUGUGAGACUUGAGUGCAGAAGAGGAAAGUGGAAUUCCACGUGUAGCGGUGAAAUGCGUAGAGAUAUGGAGGAACACCAGUGGCGAAGGCGACUUUCUGG
Molecule: ribosomal RNA, 384 nt
Filed under: Bacillus sp. (in: firmicutes)
Lineage: Bacteria; Bacillati; Bacillota; Bacilli; Caryophanales; Bacillaceae
Description: Bacillus sp. (in: Bacteria) partial 16S ribosomal RNA
Rfam family: Bacterial small subunit ribosomal RNA
Source: RNAcentral